Molecule: non-coding RNA, 2281 nt
Organism: Carica papaya (papaya)
Lineage: Eukaryota; Viridiplantae; Streptophyta; Magnoliopsida; Brassicales; Caricaceae
Source: RefSeq, a predicted model, not a curated record
UUUAUUACCAGCAAUCCAGUUUAUUGUGGAAAAUUUCCAGUCACUUACAGCCACUUGAGCUUUGAUAAUAUCAUUACUUUCAAGUCUUUAUGAAUUAAUAGAUAUGUGAGUUUCACUGUUUCUUCCAUGAAAAUUAUCCACGUUCUUAAUUCUGGUAAAUAAUAACUAAAAUUUUAGCUUCUUCACUAACGGCUAUCUUGGAGUUGUCUGCUGCUUACACGUUCUAUUCCAGCUUGAAAUAUUGAAAUACUGAUCAAGCAUAAGAACAGAGUUGAUGAGACAAGGUUUCCUCAUCAAAAUCAAUUGUACUAAGAUUUCGAUAUAUUAUAUUCAAAUGACCCAAUUUUUGCUUGUUUUGAUGGGUCUUCUCUCAACAUAUGUUGAGUCUUUGUCCUAGAGCUUGAUGGGAUUUUCACUACUUUUAUUUUCCUUCAAUUUCAGUGUCCUCUUUACUAAACUCUGUGUUUCUUUUUUGUCUUCCCCUAAUUCUGUCAGGUUCUUUUUAUCUUUUGUAUUUUUGUUUUUUGCAUUUGUUGGCUGUGCAGGGUGAACGUGUGGGCUUGUCUGUGUUUCUUUACGGGUAUGUUCACUCAUCCCACUCACGGUGUCCAACUCAUCUCCUAGCACUCAAAGUCCCUCAUUAACUAGGAUUGAAACAACUGUUCUAGACUUAUCGUCUCAUGUAUGGAGGCAAGGUGCAAAGUUAUUUCCUCUUCUGGGAGAAUUCACACAGAAAGGGUGCUAUAACAAAGCCACUAAAGAUAUACUUAGGAAGAGGGGCGAUAUUGGGAAUAAAAGUACAAUGGAAAAAAGGUUAAAACUUUAUAGGGUAAAGUAGGUUUUUUCACCACUCGCACAGAGAGUUCUUGGGAGAUGCCAUUUGUAGGCUGUUGAAACUGCAACAAGUUACAGUGGUCGCAAGCUGUUGAAAUUGCAAAACAAGUUGCAGUAGUUGUAAUGGGCACGUCCUUCCCGCCCAACUCAGCCCAUAAAUAGGCCUCCAGUCUGCAUGAGAAAUCAAUGAGUCAUUCCAUGUAACUCUCUUUCUCUCUCUCUGAUAUCUUUAACAUUCCAACGGAUGAUUUUACUAAUCAUCUUCAACCGUCACCAUCACAUUCCCCGCCUUUUCUCACACCUUCUAAUCCUUUGAUUCUUUCUCAUAAUUAAUCGAGUUCUCUAGUCGCUUAAAUUCCCUACUCUUCCUUUUUCUUAUUUUUUUUUUCUUGAUUCAUUUAUUCACAAUCCUGCUAUGGCACUUAACAAGGUCUCUUUCCUCUAUGCCAUCGAACAAAUCUAUAACUUGGCUUUCGAGACCCUCAAAACUUACUCCAAAUUUAGUAAACCUUCUAAAGCAGCUUAAUACCCGUUCUGAUUCCAGAGACGGCACCUGAAACCCACAUGAUUGUUCUGACUCCAAAUGCGAGAAAAUAUCCCCCUCCAUUAUAGCACCAUUUUCCACCUCUUCAAUAUUCCAGCGGCACUCUAACUAUCCCGGAGAAGAAGUACAGAUUGGUUGAGGGAGCAAGAGGAUGGCUCUAGUGAGAGGAACUGACCUGGGAAAAUGAAGCUUUUCCACAGAAAAAGACGUUACACCAACUAGCCUCACCGGAAAAACAGCUAAAGCCUCCGGCCCUCACCGAAACAAGGAAAGAAGAAGACCCCAAGGAGGAAAACAACGACGACUCGGAAGAUCAAUCGGGCUAAUUGCAUUAGCUGAUUCCCUAUGCUUCUGGGUUGGGCUUUCGAGUGUGCCAAUCUGGACUUUGGUUUUGACCCAUUUCUGCUUCUAUUUUUAGUAAACAUGGGCUUAAAAAGCUCAAUCCGAUUAGGAUUGCAGGACUAGUACAGUGGUGAACAGAUCGCCGGUCGCAUCCUCAUCGCUCCAUACUGGGUUCCCUAUGACUUCGCUCUUCCUUCCAAAGCAGAGCUUUCCAGGGAACCUAUUGAUAAAGAAUAGUUUCCAACAGAGAUGACUGACUGCUCUUGGUUGGCACUACCUUGAGACAGCAAUACAGGAACAGGCUUGGACAUUGAGUAAAACGCCUUAUGGUCUAUUGGAUCAGUUUCAUUUGUCACCUGAGCUCUCAAAAUCUGCACGAUCAAGCUGUCUUGAAUCCAUGCAACUCUACUAGGGUCGCAGAAGCAAGAUGUUGCUCCCAGCAAAAAUAUGACAGACUGUUUUACUCAUUAUUAUUUUCAGUAACUUUGUACUAGUUUAAUAAUUUAUAAAGAUGGGCCUUCUCAUGGUUUCUUUCAGAGAAAUAUGGUGUCUAGAAGAAAU